Molecule: non-coding RNA, 597 nt
Organism: Podarcis muralis (Common wall lizard)
Lineage: Eukaryota; Metazoa; Chordata; Lepidosauria; Squamata; Lacertidae
Source: RefSeq, a predicted model, not a curated record
GCAGAUGACUACCAGUGCCUGGAGACAGACGGUCAGGUGGUGCAUCCACAGCAGUGACCAGAGGAGGAAUGACAGCUGGGAGGAGCGCAGAGAGAGGCACUGCCAUAGUGCACCUGCAGCAGCCAAAGCGGACACUUUCCUCUGCCCCAGCUGCAGCAAAACAUGUCCGUCCAGUAUCAGUCUGUACACAGACACAGCAGGCGCUGUAACUUUGACAUCACUCGUGAAGACCAAGGCUCCUUUGGGAUCAAGGUCAGGAACUAAUUUUAACAAGCAAAUAUCCAAUUCUGAUUUAUAUGGUCCAUGGGGUCAUGAAGAGUUGGACACAACUAAACAACAACAACAACAACAGACAUCAAUUGAUAUGUUUUCAUGAUUGAAAGUUUAUUUCAUCAUGAAUUAAAAUAUAACAUCUAUAUUAUCAAAAUGAAUUAUUUAUUUGGAUUGCCAUAUUAUGUUUUGAAAUAAAUUAGCAUUUAAACUGUUAUUGUUAAUGAUGUAUUGAUUUGUAUUGAUUUGUAUUUUUUAUUGUUAUGUUAUGAGUGGAAUAGCAGCAUGGAAACUGAAAUAAUAAAAGCAGUUUAUUUAGCAAUUUAA